AUUGAACGCUGGCGGCAGGCGUAACACAUGCAAGUCGAGCGAGCGGCGGACGGGUGAGUAAUGUCUGGGAAACUGCCUGCUGGAGGGGGAUAACUACUGGAAACGGUAGCUAAUACCGCAUACCAUCAGAUGUGCCCACAUGGGAUUAGCUAGUAGGUGGGGUAAUGGCUCAACUAGGCGACGAUCCCUAGCUGGUCUGCGAGGAUGACCAGGCACACUGGAACUGAGACACGGUCCAGACUCCGACGGGAGGAAGCAGUGGGGAAUAUUGCACAAUGGGCGCAAGCCUGAUGCAGCCAUGCCGCGUGUAUGAAGAAGGCCUUCGGGUUGUAAAGUACUUUCAGCGGGGAGGCGUUACCCGCAGAAGAAGCACCGGCUAACUCCGUGCCAGCAGCCGCGGUAAUUC
RNAcentral lists this ribosomal RNA (406 nucleotides) under uncultured bacterium. RNAcentral describes it as "partial 16S ribosomal RNA". It matches the Rfam family "Bacterial small subunit ribosomal RNA", at positions 30 to 526 of the family's 1533-position model. The record is from RNAcentral.